Non-coding RNA from Bifidobacterium subtile, 394 nucleotides. It matches the Rfam family "transfer-messenger RNA". Rfam says of the family: Bacterial tmRNA, also known as 10Sa RNA or SsrA, is named for its dual tRNA and mRNA-like properties. Its role is to liberate the mRNA from a stalled ribosome. To accomplish this part of the tmRNA is used as a reading frame that ends in a translation stop signal. Lineage: Bacteria; Bacillati; Actinomycetota; Actinomycetes; Bifidobacteriales; Bifidobacteriaceae. The record is from Rfam.
GGGGCUGAUCGGUUUCGACGGUGACCUGUUCGUCGCAGGGAAGCGUGCCGAGAACGCAGGGUCCGCUCGUGGAUGACCCCUGCAAACAAUUAAGUGCUAAAUCUAAUCGCACUGAGUUCGCUCUCGCUGCCUGAUUUUUAGUCAGGAUUAACCAGUGAGCAGCUGCUCCGUCCACUCCUUCGUGUCUUCGGGGGGAUGUUGGGCGUUAUAAGAGGACUUGCUUGAAGCGCUGCGCCGCAGGGCGUUUCAGGGACUUUUUCUGCAGCUAUGCCCGCCAUCGGUCGUCUGCGACACGAUGGGAGCAGAAAAAUUGCCACACGGCCGGCAGACUACGCACGUAGAAGACUGAGGGUACGGUCAUCGGACCGGGGUUCAAUUCCCCGCAGCUCCACCA